CACUACACUGAGAACGUCUAAUGUGUUCUAUCCAUAGAGUUACUAUUCUAACUGGAGUGCUUACUUCGUUUGACAUAAAAACUAAAAAUAUACUUUAUCUCUAUGGCUUAAAGUUUAUUUUUAAAUAGCAAAAGAUGUAAGGAAAAACGGUCUGAAAAGAGAAUGAUUAUUAAGUGGUGGUGUCCCUCUCGCACAUUUUACAAACAAAAAGCAGUGUUGCUAGCUUAGGGGAUUUUCCAUAAAAUCUCGGAAUUUGGACCCCCGUCUUAGUUAUCAAAAAUGGCUUUUAGUGGUUAGUGGAUUUUUUAGUAGCUUGGGCGUUGUUGAAAAUUAUCGAAAAGGUUAAAAUCAAUCCACUUUACAGGAUUUUAAACAUUUUAUGACAAUAAUAUAUCUAAAUACAUAUUUUUUAAACGAUGUGACUUAAACUUAACUAGAAAAUGUUGCGACAAUUUAGAAUUUCCAUCAAUGUCAAAAAUUAAAUUGGUUCAAAAUAAACGUACAAAGUUAUGGUGAAAUUAGUUUCUGAUGAUGACAAUUUUUUAAAAUAAAUUAUAUAAGAAGUAUUGAUUAUAUGAUAUAUAUUGAUUUUUAAUAGAACAUCAUAUAUUAAUAAAGCUCGUUAACAAAAAAAAUAUUGUUCUAUAUUAAUAAGAACUCUGUUUAAUGGAAAAUGUAAUGGUAGGUACGUAGAUUUCUGAUGGUUUUCAUGUUGAAUUUGGUUGAAGCCAGAUUAAUUGUUGGCAUCACCGAAAAAGAGCUAUGAAUGGAUUAAAAGAAAAAUGGCGUCUAUUUACGUUUGUAGUGCGAAGUUAAAAUGGCACUGAUACAGCUUGUGGCUUGUUUUUUUUCGAAAAUCGUGAAAGUUUCCGUGUAAUCAUGGUGAACACUUUUAAUCGUCGCACGCAAGCAUGUAUAUCAUUUGCCUGACGUUAAGCGAACGAGGAGGAUCUUCUUUCUAGUAAAUAUGACGUUGGAAUUUCUGGAAAAUGUUCUAUAUAAAGGUCAAACAAGAAGAAUCAAGUACUCAAACGCAAGAAAUAAAAAAUACCCCGAGAAAAGCAAAAUUACGACAAGAUGUUAAGGUAUUGAAACAAAAACUUAAAAGUCGCGAAAUAGUGAUUGUAAAUAUAAAGUCGAUUUUAGAUUUAUUAAAGAAAAAUGGCGAUUUUUAAUUGAAUUGAAAUUUAAAUUGCGAAAUUUUAAUGAUACUCAUGGUCCACUUUGAUAUUGAUUAAAAUAAAUUAUGUAUUUCGUUGAAAAAAAAGAAUUUACUUAAAAUAGAGGAAAUGUUAUAUUAUAAGACUACAAAAAAUUAACUGAACUUAAUAAUAAUAAUAUAACCAAUAUUUUGUAAAUAGAGAUCAAGUACUAUGUGUAUUGUGUUAUGUGUAUUGACUUGUCAUUUAAGAGUUAUUUAAUUGUCUACAUAUAACAAAUAAAUGAAUUUCAGUUCAUUUCAUUUUAUUA
This is a long non-coding RNA of Bombyx mori (domestic silkworm), 1470 nucleotides long. RefSeq lists it as uncharacterized. The record is from RefSeq and is a predicted model, not a curated record. The transcript has 2 exons. NCBI's taxonomy places the organism in Eukaryota, Metazoa, Arthropoda, Insecta, Lepidoptera, Bombycidae.